This 55-nucleotide small nuclear RNA is filed under the name Pteropus vampyrus (large flying fox). The record is from RNAcentral. Lineage: Eukaryota; Metazoa; Chordata; Mammalia; Chiroptera; Pteropodidae.
GUGCUCGCUUCGGCAGCACAAUACUAAAAUUAGAACAAUACAGAGAAGAUUAGCA